UGUUCUUUGGCUUAGAUGGUUAAAGCGCCGGUCUAGCGAAUACGGAGUCGUGGGUUCGAAUCCCACCAGCACGC
Aedes albopictus (Asian tiger mosquito) is the source of this 74-nucleotide non-coding RNA. NCBI's taxonomy places the organism in Eukaryota, Metazoa, Arthropoda, Insecta, Diptera, Culicidae. The record is from Rfam.